RNAcentral lists this transfer RNA (75 nucleotides) under Bacillota bacterium. RNAcentral describes it as "Firmicutes bacterium (hot springs metagenome) tRNA-Met". It matches the Rfam family "tRNA". From Rfam's summary of the family: Transfer RNA (tRNA) molecules are approximately 80 nucleotides in length. Lineage: Bacteria; Bacillati; Bacillota. The record is from RNAcentral.
GGCACCGUAGCUCAGUGGUAGAGCGGGCGGUUCAUAACCGCCAUGUCGCUGGUUCGAGCCCAGCCGGUGCCACCA